GCUUAGAGAGUACUUAGCAACAGCCCGUCCACGAGGGAGUAGUGUAGUGUCUACCGAGUCACAGACACCAGUUGUCACAAGCAAUGAGGAUGAAUCCGGGGAACUGGCUUCCCUUAUAGAGGAGGAGGUGGUGAUUAGUGCGAGUGGUGGGGUGCAGGGAGCGAGUAGUGAAAGUGAUGUGACUGGGGCCGAGGCGGCUGCGACCACUGUUGAAGAAGAGGAGGAAAUAGGAGAUGUUUCCAACAUCUCUGUCAUCAUGUCAGAGCCGGUUGGUGAUAACUCGCUGUAUACACUAGACUAGACCAGACUUCUGGAUAGUCAGAUAAAAGCUUGUUUUUUUGAUGAAGUGGCGACAGUUGUGCUGGAAGCGGAGCAGAUUCCCACCAGCUGCAACCUGUUCCAUAAUCAAGAACCCUACAGAUACUCAGCCCUGACACCUCCACACUGCCAGAUUGUAGCAUCUACUCAUCCCAUCUGCUCUGACUCUGGUACCUGUCUCCUCAGUCCUGCUUCCCUGCCCUGGAUCCCCGCUCCACUGCUUCAUUGGAUUCUGCUCCAGACCUGUUUACCUGGUUCCUAAUCUCCUUGCCCCCAGCCUCAGUCCGGAAUCCCUACUACCUGCCAGAGAUUCCCCUGGACUGCACCCCACCCCAUCUCCCCAAUAAAUACAUUGGUUACCUA
Oncorhynchus kisutch (coho salmon) is the source of this 681-nucleotide long non-coding RNA. RefSeq lists it as uncharacterized. The record is from RefSeq and is a predicted model, not a curated record. NCBI's taxonomy places the organism in Eukaryota, Metazoa, Chordata, Actinopteri, Salmoniformes, Salmonidae. The transcript is spliced from 3 exons.